This 253-nucleotide ribosomal RNA is filed under the name uncultured bacterium. RNAcentral describes it as "partial 16S ribosomal RNA". It matches the Rfam family "Bacterial small subunit ribosomal RNA", at positions 524 to 776 of the family's 1533-position model. The record is from RNAcentral.
UACGGGGGGGGCAAGCGUUGUUCGGAAUUACUGGGCGUAAAGGGCUCGUAGGUGGCCAACUAAGUCGGACGUGAAAUCCCUCGGCUUAACCGGGGAACUGCGUCCGAUACUGGACGGCUUGAGUUUGGGAGAGGGAUGCGGAAUUCCAGGUGUAGCGGUGAAAUGCGUAGAUAUCUGGAGGAACACCGGUGGCGAAGGCGGCAUCCUGGACCAACACUGACACUGAGGAGCGAAAGCCAGGGGAGCAAACGGG